RNAcentral lists this non-coding RNA (238 nucleotides) under Bacillus sp. (in: firmicutes). RNAcentral's name for it is "Bacillus sp. T-box sequence". It matches the Rfam family "T-box leader". From Rfam's summary of the family: Uncharged tRNA acts as the effector for transcription antitermination of genes in the T-box leader family. T-boxes are found upstream of many aminoacyl-tRNA synthetase genes and some amino acid biosynthetic genes usually in Gram-positive bacteria. The record is from RNAcentral. Lineage: Bacteria; Bacillati; Bacillota; Bacilli; Caryophanales; Bacillaceae.
AGAACGGCAAUGAAAGGGACAGUAUAAUUUUUCAAAAUGCUUUCAUAGCGAGCUGGGGAUGGUGUAAGCCUGGCAUGGCAGAAAAAUUAGAAAAUCACCCUUGAGUCCCAGGUCGAAGCUCUAUGAGUGUGUAGGUCCUGGCGGGUUAUUCACGUUAGGGAAUAUCAAAGAGGAUUGUAUUUGCUUAAUACAAUUUAUCGGGGUGGUACCGCGGGAAUAAAACCUUCUCGUCCCUAUU